UCUGGGUGUGGUGGCACACGGCUGCAGCCCCAGCCACUCUGGAGGCUGAGGUGGGAGUAUUGUUUGAGCCCAGGAGUUCUGGGCUGUACUGCAGUAUGCCAAUAGGGUAUCCACACUAAGUAUGGUGUCAAUAUGAUGAUUUCCCUGGAACAGGGGGCUGUAAGUUUCCUAAAGAGGGGUGAAGCAGCCCAGGGUGGAAACAGAGCAGGUCAAAACUCCCAUGCUAAUCAAAUGUGGAAUUGUGCCUGUGAAUAGCCACUGCACUCAGUCUGGGUGACAUAGUGAGACCCUAUAUCUU
Macaca fascicularis (crab-eating macaque) is the source of this 298-nucleotide unclassified non-coding RNA. It matches the Rfam family "Metazoan signal recognition particle RNA". Rfam says of the family: The signal recognition particle (SRP) is a universally conserved ribonucleoprotein. It is involved in the co-translational targeting of proteins to membranes. The record is from Ensembl. NCBI's taxonomy places the organism in Eukaryota, Metazoa, Chordata, Mammalia, Primates, Cercopithecidae.